CCUACGGGAGGCAGCAGUGGGGAAUUUUGGACAAUGGGCGAAAGCCUGAUCCAGCAAUGCCGCGUGUGGGAAGAAGGCCUUCGGGUUGUAAACCACUUUUGUACGGAACGAAACGGCUCGCUUUAAUACAGUGGGCUAAUGACGGUACCGUAAGAAUAAGCACCGGCUAACUACGUGCCAGCAGCCGCGGUAAUGCGUAGGGUGCGAGCGUUAAUCGGAAUUACUGGGCGUAAAGCGUGCGCAGGCGGUUAUAUAAGACAGUUGUGAAAUCCCCGGGCUCAACCUGGGAAUUGCAUCUGUGACUGUAUAGCUAGAGUACGGUAGAGGGGGAUGGAAUUCCGCGUGUAGCAGUGAAAUGCGUAGAUAUGCGGAGGAACACCGAUGGCGAAGGCAAUCCCCUGGACCUGUACUGACGCUCAUGCACGAAAGCGUGGGGAGCAAACAGGAUUAGAUACCCUGGUAGUCCACGCCCUAAACGAUGUCAACUGGUUGUUGGGUGNAUUAGUACUCAGUAACGAAGACUACGCGUGAGUAGACCGCCGUGGGAGGUACGGCCGCGAGGUUAGAACGUACAAGUAGAAGUUAGUACGGCGUGAGACGUAGCCGACGGACGACGACGAGGGAGGAGGG
Molecule: ribosomal RNA, 630 nt
Filed under: uncultured bacterium
Lineage: Bacteria
Description: bacterial SSU rRNA
Rfam family: Bacterial small subunit ribosomal RNA (bases 1-541)
Source: RNAcentral